Poecilia formosa (Amazon molly) is the source of this 93-nucleotide microRNA precursor. NCBI's taxonomy places the organism in Eukaryota, Metazoa, Chordata, Actinopteri, Cyprinodontiformes, Poeciliidae. The record is from Ensembl.
GUCCUCUCUCCAAGGUUGACCGAUUUCUUUUGGUGUUCAGAGUCCAUUUCUCUUUCUAGCACCAUUUGAAAUCGGUUACAAUGAAGGACAGAU